RNAcentral lists this ribosomal RNA (253 nucleotides) under uncultured bacterium. RNAcentral's name for it is "partial 16S ribosomal RNA". It matches the Rfam family "Bacterial small subunit ribosomal RNA", at positions 524 to 776 of the family's 1533-position model. The record is from RNAcentral.
UACAUGGGGUGCAAACGUUGCUCGGAAUUAUUGGGCGUAAAGGGCUCGUAGGCGGUCCGUCACGUCGGGAGUGAAAACUCGGGGCUCAACCCCGAGCCUGCUUUCGAUACGGGCGGACUAGAGGUAGGUAGGGGAGAACGGAAUUCCUGGUGUAGCGGUGGAAUGCGCAGAUAUCAGGAGGAACACCGGUGGCGAAGGCGGUUCUCUGGGCCUUACCUGACGCUGAGGCACGAAGGCCAGGGGAGCAAACGGG